GGUUAAGCGACUAAGCGUACACGGUGGAUGCCCUGGCAGUCAGAGGCGAUGAAGGACGUGCUAAUCUGCGAUAAGCGUCGGUGAGGUGAUAUGAACCGUUAUAACCGGCGAUUUCCGAAUGGGGAAACCCAGUGUGUUUCGACACACUAUCAUUAACUGAAUCCAUAGGUUAAUGAGGCGAACCGGGGGAACUGAAACAUCUAAGUACCCCGAGGAAAAGAAAUCAACCGAGAUUCUCCCAGUAGCGGCGAGCGAACGGGGAGGAGCCCAGAGCCUGAAUCAGUGUGUGUGUUAGUGGAAGCGUCUGGAAAGGCGCGCGAUACAGGGUGACAGCCCCGUACACAAAAAUGCACAUGCUGUGAGCUCGAUGAGUAGGGCGGGACACGUGGUAUCCUGUCUGAAUAUGGGGGGACCAUCCUCCAAGGCUAAAUACUCCUGACUGACCGAUAGUGAACCAGUACCGUGAGGGAAAGGCGAAAAGAACCCCGGCGAGGGGAGUGAAAAAGAACCUGAAACCGUGUACGUACAAGCAGUGGGAGCCUCUUAAUGGGGUGACUGCGUACCUUUUGUAUAAUGGGUCAGCGACUUAUAUUCUGUAGCAAGGUUAACCGAAUAGGGGAGCCGAAGGGAAACCGAGUCUUAACUGGGCGUUAAGUUGCAGGGUAUAGACCCGAAACCCGGUGAUCUAGCCAUGGGCAGGUUGAAGGUUGGGUAACACUAACUGGAGGACCGAACCGACUAAUGUUGAAAAAUUAGCGGAUGACUUGUGGCUGGGGGUGAAAGGCCAAUCAAACCGGGAGAUAGCUGGUUCUCCCCGAAAGCUAUUUAGGUAGCGCCUCGUGAAUUCAUCUCCGGGGGUAGAGCACUGUUUCGGCAAGGGGGUCAUCCCGACUUACCAACCCGAUGCAAACUGCGAAUACCGGAGAAUGUUAUCACGGGAGACACACGGCGGGUGCUAACGUCCGUCGUGAAGAGGGAAACAACCCAGACCGCCAGCUAAGGUCCCAAAGUCAUGGUUAAGUGGGAAACGAUGUGGGAAGGCCCAGACAGCCAGGAUGUUGGCUUAGAAGCAGCCAUCAUUUAAAGAAAGCGUAAUAGCUCACUGGUCGAGUCGGCCUGCGCGGAAGAUGUAACGGGGCUAAACCAUGCACCGAAGCUGCGGCAGCGACACUAUGUGUUGUUGGGUAGGGGAGCGUUCUGUAAGCCUGUGAAGGUGGCCUGUGAGGGUUGCUGGAGGUAUCAGAAGUGCGAAUGCUGACAUAAGUAACGAUAAAGCGGGUGAAAAGCCCGCUCGCCGGAAGACCAAGGGUUCCUGUCCAACGUUAAUCGGGGCAGGGUGAGUCGACCCCUAAGGCGAGGCCGAAAGGCGUAGUCGAUGGGAAACAGGUUAAUAUUCCUGUACUUGGUGUUACUGCGAAGGGGGGACGGAGAAGGCUAUGUUGGCCGGGCGACGGUUGUCCCGGUUUAAGCGUGUAGGCUGGUUUUCCAGGCAAAUCCGGAAAAUCAAGGCUGAGGCGUGAUGACGAGGCACUACGGUGCUGAAGUGACAAAUGCCCUGCUUCCAGGAAAAGCCUCUAAGCAUCAGGUAACAUCAAAUCGUACCCCAAACCGACACAGGUGGUCAGGUAGAGAAUACCAAGGCGCUUGAGAGAACUCGGGUGAAGGAACUAGGCAAAAUGGUGCCGUAACUUCGGGAGAAGGCACGCUGAUAUGUAGGUGAAGCGACUUGCUCGUGGAGCUGAAAUCAGUCGAAGAUACCAGCUGGCUGCAACUGUUUAUUAAAAACACAGCACUGUGCAAACACGAAAGUGGACGUAUACGGUGUGACGCCUGCCCGGUGCCGGAAGGUUAAUUGAUGGGGUUAGCGGUAACGCGAAGCUCUUGAUCGAAGCCCCGGUAAACGGCGGCCGUAACUAUAACGGUCCUAAGGUAGCGAAAUUCCUUGUCGGGUAAGUUCCGACCUGCACGAAUGGCGUAAUGAUGGCCAGGCUGUCUCCACCCGAGACUCAGUGAAAUUGAACUCGCUGUGAAGAUGCAGUGUACCCGCGGCAAGACGGAAAGACCCCGUGAACCUUUACUAUAGCUUGACACUGAACAUUGAGCCUUGAUGUGUAGGAUAGGUGGGAGGCUUUGAAGUGUGGACGCCAGUCUGCAUGGAGCCGACCUUGAAAUACCACCCUUUAAUGUUUGAUGUUCUAACGUUGGCCCGUAAUCCGGGUUGCGGACAGUGUCUGGUGGGUAGUUUGACUGGGGCGGUCUCCUCCUAAAGAGUAACGGAGGAGCACGAAGGUUGGCUAAUCCUGGUCGGACAUCAGGAGGUUAGUGCAAUGGCAUAAGCCAGCUUGACUGCGAGCGUGACGGCGCGAGCAGGUGCGAAAGCAGGUCAUAGUGAUCCGGUGGUUCUGAAUGGAAGGGCCAUCGCUCAACGGAUAAAAGGUACUCCGGGGAUAACAGGCUGAUACCGCCCAAGAGUUCAUAUCGACGGCGGUGUUUGGCACCUCGAUGUCGGCUCAUCACAUCCUGGGGCUGAAGUAGGUCCCAAGGGUAUGGCUGUUCGCCAUUUAAAGUGGUACGCGAGCUGGGUUUAGAACGUCGUGAGACAGUUCGGUCCCUAUCUGCCGUGGGCGCUGGAGAACUGAGGGGGGCUGCUCCUAGUACGAGAGGACCGGAGUGGACGCAUCACUGGUGUUCGGGUUGUCAUGCCAAUGGCACUGCCCGGUAGCUAAAUGCGGAAGAGAUAAGUGCUGAAAGCAUCUAAGCACGAAACUUGCCCCGAGAUGAGUUCUCCCUGACUCCUUGAGAGUCCUGAAGGAACGUUGAAGACGACGACGUUGAUAGGCCGGGUGUGUAAGCGCAGCGAUGCGUUGAGCUAACCGGUACUAAUGAACCGUGAGGCUUAACCUU
This 2904-nucleotide ribosomal RNA is filed under the name Escherichia coli. RNAcentral's name for it is "23S ribosomal RNA". It matches the Rfam family "Bacterial large subunit ribosomal RNA". Lineage: Bacteria; Pseudomonadati; Pseudomonadota; Gammaproteobacteria; Enterobacterales; Enterobacteriaceae. The record is from RNAcentral.